RNAcentral lists this ribosomal RNA (253 nucleotides) under uncultured bacterium. RNAcentral describes it as "partial 16S ribosomal RNA". It matches the Rfam family "Bacterial small subunit ribosomal RNA", at positions 524 to 776 of the family's 1533-position model. The record is from RNAcentral.
GACGAACUGUGCAAACGUUAUUCGGAAUCACUGGGCUUGAAGAGUGCGUAGGCGGUUUUGUAAGUAGGGUGUGAAAGCCCCCGGCCCAACCGGGGAAUUGCGCCCUAAACUGCAAGGCUAGAGUGAGGCAGGGGUGUGUGGAACUUCUAGUGGAGCGGUGAAAUGUGUUGAUAUUAGAAGGAACGCCGGCGGCGAAAGCGACACACUGGGCCUUGUCUGACGCUGAGGCACGAAAGCCAGGGGAGCAAACGGG